This 140-nucleotide small nucleolar RNA is filed under the name Dasypus novemcinctus (nine-banded armadillo). The record is from RNAcentral. Lineage: Eukaryota; Metazoa; Chordata; Mammalia; Cingulata; Dasypodidae.
GAUUUCCUAGGAUCAAGCCUGGAAAAUGGCUAGUAUUCUACCAGCUUUGGAAAUGGGAGGGAAAACAAGCCCAGUAGAGAUGCACAUUCCAUUCCCAGUUUACUCAGUAGCUGGUGAUUGGAAGAUACCCUGCGACAGCG